GAAAUGCGAUAAGUAAUGUGAAUUGCAGAAUUCAGUGAAUCAUCGAAUCUUUGAACGCACCUUGCGCUCCUUGGUAUUCCUUGGAGCAUGCCUGUUUGAGUAUCAUGAAAUCUUCAAAGUAAAUCUUUUGUUAACUCAAUUGGUUUCUACUUUGGUAUUGGAGGUCUUUGCAGCUUCACACCUGCUCCUCUUUGUUCAUUAGCUGGAUCUCAGUGUAUGCUUGGUUCCACUCGGCGUGAUAAGUUAUCUAUCGCUGAGGACACUGUAAAAGGUGGCCAAGGUAAAUGCAGAUGAACCGCUUCUAAUAGUCCAUUGACUUGGACAAUACUUUUAUGAUCUGAUCUCAAAUCAGGUAGGACUACCCGCUGAACUUAAGC
RNAcentral lists this unclassified non-coding RNA (377 nucleotides) under plant metagenome. RNAcentral's name for it is "partial contains 5.8S ribosomal RNA, internal transcribed spacer 2, and large subunit ribosomal RNA". The stretch from base 1 to 105 matches the Rfam family "5.8S ribosomal RNA", at positions 50 to 154 of the family's 154-position model. The record is from RNAcentral.